GGAAUGGUAGUGCAGUGGUAGCACGCGCUUCUCACUUCCGGUGGUACGCGGGUUCAACUCCCGCUGAGGUCGA
This is a non-coding RNA of Parelaphostrongylus tenuis, 73 nucleotides long. The record is from the annotation of a GenBank genome assembly. NCBI's taxonomy places the organism in Eukaryota, Metazoa, Nematoda, Chromadorea, Rhabditida, Metastrongylidae.